RNAcentral lists this ribosomal RNA (425 nucleotides) under uncultured bacterium. Its description in RNAcentral is "partial 16S ribosomal RNA". It matches the Rfam family "Bacterial small subunit ribosomal RNA", at positions 354 to 796 of the family's 1533-position model. The record is from RNAcentral.
GUGGGGAAUCUUAGACAAUGGGCGCAAGCCUGAUCUAGCCAUGCCGCGUGAGCGAUGAAGGCCUUAGGGUUGUAAAGCUCUUUCGUGGGGGAAGAUAAUGACUGUACCCCAAGAAGAAGCCCCGGCUAACUCCGUGCCAGCAGCCGCGGUAAUACGGAGGGGGCUAGCGUUGUGCGGAAUUACUGGGCGUAAAGCGCACGUAGGCGGACUGGAAAGUCAGGGGUGAAAUCCCGGGGCUCAACCCCGGAACUGCCUUUGAAACUCCCAGUCUUGAGUUCGAGAGAGGUGAGUGGAAUUCCGAGUGUAGAGGUGAAAUUCGUAGAUAUUCGGAGGAACACCAGUGGCGAAGGCGGCUCACUGGCUCGAUACUGACGCUGAGGUGCGAAAGCGUGGGGAGCAAACAGGAUUAGAAACCCCAGUAGUCC